RNAcentral lists this transfer RNA (72 nucleotides) under Ornithorhynchus anatinus (platypus). It matches the Rfam family "tRNA". Rfam says of the family: Transfer RNA (tRNA) molecules are approximately 80 nucleotides in length. The record is from Rfam by way of RNAcentral. Lineage: Eukaryota; Metazoa; Chordata; Mammalia; Monotremata; Ornithorhynchidae.
AGCAGCGUGGCUUAGUGGAAAGAGCACGGGCUUGGGAGUCAGAGGUCAUGGGUUCAAAUCCUAGCUCUGCCA